Long non-coding RNA from Mya arenaria, 2105 nucleotides. RefSeq lists it as uncharacterized. The transcript has 4 exons. Lineage: Eukaryota; Metazoa; Mollusca; Bivalvia; Myida; Myidae. The record is from RefSeq and is a predicted model, not a curated record.
AUUCUUUUAGGAAUAUUGAAACAACAUUAUUAAUUGUGGUAAACCUUAUCUGGCAGUACUUAAGAGUGCAUCUUUGACUUUAUUACUCGAGUGAAUGCACCUUCAAACCGGUUUAACACCAACAUGUCACAGUAAUCAAUACCAUCUGUGUUAAGAUGUCGGGAAUGUGUUAGACGAAUGAUUUUGUUUUAUGGAGCUUUGAAGAGCGAUGAAUGGCACUAAAGUGGUGCCAAAUGGAUAUCUCAAACACCCAUUGUUGAUGUGUGAUGCUGAUAAUACAGAGACAGCUAGAGUGACAGAGUUUGAUGAAUAAACUUAAAUUAAAAAACAGAAAUAACCACCAUCUCUCUCAGAGGUCAUCUUUCUCAUUAUUGUGGGAAACCUCAAAGGGCAUCAGGAAAACCUUCAUCAACCUCUUUGUGCCCAGUGGCUUGUGCAACAGUGUUUCAGAAAUUAUCAUUAAAAUGGGGAUAAUGGAUGACUGGCCACACAUAUGGGGCUAUGGACAAGCUUCAGAGCAGGCUGCCAGGUGGUGGUGUUAGUAGUUUAUACUCCGGGUCCCGGCGUGAGCACAUUGAAGGGUCCCAGAGUGACAGUUCAACCACCCACACCUAUCCUGGGCAGAACCAGUACUAGGUGCCUUCACCUCUGCAAGGAACUGACAGCUUCUGUACAUGCCAGGUGCAGUGGUACAGUGCGAAUGGUCGUAGAAAGGAUUUCAUAACCAAUCACAACAGAGGUCACCUGGUCCGCCCGGGAAUCGAACCCGGGAUGUCCAAUUCAGAGUCCAACGCUCUACCGAUUGAGCUGACCGGGCGGACAUAUUAGCUACAUUAGAUGACAAGCCAUCUAUGCUGGACAUUCUUCACAAUAAAAUGUAAUGUCACAGGAGCUGUCUAUCUCAACAGCUCACACUGUCCGUAUUUGACUAAAGGAAUGAAUGAAGUCACUGCAGAAGUUAGAUUGAGGAAUGUCCAUGUCACUACCCAUCAUUUGGAAGGAGUUGGAUAAAAAAAGUGUGGCCUAUGUAUUGAAACAGGUCCGAUUUCCAGUUACGGACAGUCUUGAUUUGUCUGAUUACAUUUUUGACCAACAUGAUGGUCUAAAAGAACACUUACUGGUAACUGGUAAAAUCAUGGCCCAGUUGUUCCAAGAGGCAGGCGAGUGGGAAGUUACUAGACUCCAUUUCUUUAUGGGUUGAUCUGAGGUUCCAGUUCAGUUAAAGUACUGAUAGAACACCAAGUGUUUGCCAUAAUACAGCAACAUUUCAUUUGUAACUAUGUAUUUGUUUGAAUUGUUGAAACAGUACUGUUUACUAAAUAAUGUGUAUGUAUAUGAAGAAUAAUAUUAUAAAUAAUUUGUAAGAACCUUUUGAUAUUAAGUAAAAUGUCGAUAAGUCUAAAUAUGUAUCUGCGAAUCAUUUUUGUAUAUCUGUAAAGAUUACAUUGCCUAUAUUCCUCAAUUUAUAUUUUUCUUUUAGCCAGUCAAUAACUUUGUUAAGUUCUAUCUUCAAAAUUGUCGGGACAGGGAUUAUAGCCCUUAAUUAACCCAAAUAUGUAACAUUCAAUGCAAAAUUGGCUGCAAUUAGGCAGUUCAGAUGCAGGAACAAACAUCACUUGGGUCCUUAAUAAUAGCUUUCCAUCUGACAUUGAAGAUCCAAUAAAAGGAAUUUGUCAUGUGACUGUUUAUUAACUCUCAAUUUAUUGAAAGUGAAAUUACUUACAUGAUUUGUAAGAACUAAAUUAUAAUGAUAUCAAAUGAUUGUUUAAAUUAAAUAAAAUAGAUGAUUACAUACAUGAACUAUUUUUAUUUCUUGUUUGUCAAUAUGAAGAGUAAUGCAAUGGCUUUUGAAUUUCAUAAAAAAGGAUGGAAAAAUGUAUGUUUAUUGUUUAAGCAAUUAAUUAAGUAAUAAAAGUUGUUUUUUUUCUUUUUUUCAAAUUGUGCUAUCUUAUAAUACAGAUCGUUAUUUGUUUAAUUUUGGUACAAAUGAAGUAUAUAAGGUAUGUCUAAUGUUACAAAUAGCAAAAAUUCAAAUGCAAAUCAUGGUGACUUGACUAAAUGUGAAUGCUAAUUGAAUCAAAAUAGUUAAUAAAUAAUAAUGUUCA